AUCUCAACAGCCUUGAAGCGGUUAACUUUGUAGUUUUACUGCUUUAUUAGGCUGUGCUUUUGCUGGAGGUUUAGGGGUGCUCUUGAUCGAGUGUCUCUGGAUGCCAGCAGGUUUACUUUGAAAAAAUUAGAGUGCUCAAGCAGCUAAAAUGCCUGAAUAUUCGUGCAUGGAAUAAUAGAAUAGGAUGUCGAUCCUAUUUUGUUGGUUUUCCGGGGACUCGACAUAAUGAUAAAUAGGGACAGUCGGGGGCAUUUGUAUUCAAACGACAGAGGUGUAAUUCUUGGACCGUUUGAAGACAAACUACUGCGAAAGCAUUUGC
This 319-nucleotide ribosomal RNA is filed under the name uncultured marine eukaryote. RNAcentral describes it as "SSU rRNA". It matches the Rfam family "Eukaryotic small subunit ribosomal RNA", at positions 610 to 958 of the family's 1831-position model. The record is from RNAcentral.